This 253-nucleotide ribosomal RNA is filed under the name uncultured bacterium. RNAcentral's name for it is "partial 16S ribosomal RNA". It matches the Rfam family "Bacterial small subunit ribosomal RNA", at positions 524 to 776 of the family's 1533-position model. The record is from RNAcentral.
UACGUAGGUGGCAAGCGUUAUCCGGAAUUAUUGGGCGUAAAGCGCUCGCAGGCGGUUUCUUAAGUCUGAUGUGAAAGCCCACGGCUCAACCGUGGAGGGCCAUUGGAAACUGGGAGACUUGAGUGCAGAAGAGGAGAGUGGAAUUCCACGUGUAGCGGUGAAAUGCGUAGAGAUGUGGAGGAACACCAGUGGCGAAGGCGACUCUCUGGUCUGUAACUGACGCUGAGGAGCGAAAGCGUGGGGAGCAAACAGG